Lotus japonicus is the source of this 3330-nucleotide RNA transcript. It is a transcript of the gene named mannan endo-1,4-beta-mannosidase 2-like, with no coding region annotated. The record is from RefSeq and is a predicted model, not a curated record. Lineage: Eukaryota; Viridiplantae; Streptophyta; Magnoliopsida; Fabales; Fabaceae. The transcript has 8 exons.
GAUUUACAGAAUUAAAAUGAUAUUUUUAUCACCUCCAAACAUUGCCAAUUUCUCAAAUCUCCAUAUAACAUACAGCAAACAUGAUUUUUGUUCAAAGUCUUAGAUUUAUGAAACGAUUUGUCACAGUCAUUUGAAUGUACUUAAUAAUUGUUGAGGGCAAGCCUCCUCCUGCCGCAAUGGUGUGGGGCGUCAGAGGCUGUUGCCCCGUGGCCAACUCGAAGGGGCUGAAGUUCGACGCAGAGCUUUUUGGUUGAUUCGAAAGCCCUAGCCAGUGAUGAAUCCCCAGUAAGAUCGGAGUCUUUCAUUCCUCCUCCCUUCAGUCCAGUUUGAACCCGUCCCAGCAACGAAGACCUUCCUACUUUUAUAUGCUGAUUUAUGAAUCUGUUCCUUUUAACACUAUUAGUUUUUCUUCUGAAACUAAUGUUAUCAUUCUCUUCACUGUGACCAUGCGAGCCAAAGAAGAAACAUGACAGAUCAAGAGGAAGUAGCGGAUGAUUUGGCUUACCGCUUACCAAUUGCUCCAUGAAGUGCAGCGAGACAUUACUUAUUGGCAGGUCAAAAUUUCAGAGCUAGCCUGUGUAUGUGAAAAAGAAGGGGAGAAGAGAGCAAAAGGCUGAACAAAGUAGUGCGAUAACCUUUAUCAUCAUGAAUCAGGGCAGUAUCAUUUCCCUCUUUGUUGGUGUUUCCUAAUUUAGCUUCAUAGUUCCUUACAAUCUUUGCUGUUAGAAUUGCUGAUUGCUUUCCCAAGCAUUUCAUGGAAUUUAGAAAUCUUUGGCUCUGAAAUUUCUCUUGGAUAGUUUUAAUCUUCGUCAGGAUUGCAUGAUUGAAAGUAUUAGUGCUGAAUGUAAGAAGUGAUGGGAUAGUGCUAUGUUUUAUUCGAACCUCACUUGCAGGCUUCACAUUAUUUAAUGACUAGAAACUGAUUGAAGAUAUAACUGAGUACUUGCUUCUAAGCAUUUUACCUGUCUAACACAUGAUUAAAUGAAUAUUCAUGUUAUUAACGUUGGUUUGUGAUUUACUAGUCAAUGGAAAUGAUGACAUCUACCUAGUUCUUGAAAACUGAUUUUCCAAAUCAUUCUUGUAAAUUUCUCCUAUGCUUGUACUGAUUAAAUCUGGAAUACUUUAUUAAAGCCGGUAAUCUGAAUAUAGGAUAUAUGCUUUGUGGUCUUUAAGAGGGUGAAGUCAUCUUGCAUUUCAUAUGUCUGACAGAAUGUGUAAAAUGAGCAAUUUUUCUUGUACAGAUCAUUCAAAUAGGCCAUAAUUUUAUAGGAGAAAUGACUGACUGAAUACUUCUCUUUUUCUUCAUGUUUCUGCUGAAUUUAAGAUGAAUAUCAAGAAGCAUGCCCCAUCCGAAGAAUGCUUGGAAUCUAGAAACAUGAUAACAUGCCUGGUUUGCAUAAUAUCCCUUUUCAUAUUCUUGAAAUGAUUAAAGAUGGUAUAACUUCAGAGGUUUAUAGGAAGCAUCACCUUUUUCUUGGGGUGUUUUCUCCAUUCUCUUUUAUAAAUUGAUUCAAUUUAAAUAUACUCUAAUGUGGAAUGUUGAUGUGGUAUCUAAGUCAGAGGGAAUUGAUGAAGCCCUUCAACAAGCGCUAGUAUAGCCCAAGCUGUGUUCACUAGAUAACACUUAUUUCCUGCUAGAUUUGUAUAUACCUAUUUGGAAGAUUAUAUCUUGAUGAGAUCUUAAAUAAAUGCAUGAACUGAUAUGGGAUCAGAUUUUAGGACAUUAAUCCAACUUUUCCUCUUUCUACCAUGCUGGAUAUAUAUACUUCAAUUUUGACCACAUGAUUGUUCAUAAAUAUGAAUAUGUACUUACAACUUACAAGGCUAUUGGACUCUUCUUUCAAGAAAGAAAUUUUUUAUAUAGUCGAUAUCUGAAACUUACUAUUGAUGUUACACUGUCAUUGCUUGCUGUUCUCACUCAACCCUCAGCACCAGCCUCAGCCUCUCGACCCCGACAAGCUCCAGGACCACUUCAACAAUUUUUAUGAAGAUCUCUUUCAGGAGCUCAGCAAGUUGGAAAUGUAUAUGUUCAGUAAAAAGAGGAAGAUCAUGCCCCCAAUGCUCUGAUGAACCUCACUGGAAGAUUUCAUUCAGUCAAGGAAAUGAUCUUAGAAAGAAGACAAUGAACUCUGUCUUCUGGAACUCAAACAUGACUCAAUGUCUUGAUUACUAGCUCAGGGAUAACACAUCUGAGUGUUGUUGAAAGUCUCAAAACUUCUGGCCUGCUUCGUGCUGCUGGAAUUGCAACUUCUUUGAGUGAUUCAGGACAAAAGUGGCCUUGGAUUAUGUCAUAGCAGAAGCAGGGCAACAAGGAAUUAGGCUACUCCUUAGCUUAGUAAAUAACUUGGAAGGAUUAGGUGGGAAGCCUCAGUAUGUCAAAUGGGCUAAGCUCGUCUGAUGAUUCUUUCUUCUUUGAUCCAUCAAUCCGUAGUUAUUUCAAGAAUUACAUCAAGACUAUCUUGACAAGGAAAAAUACUAUCACUGGAAUUGAAUAUAGAAAGGACCCUGAUGCGGAGUGGAUAGAAGAAAUGUCAGCUUUUGUCAAAUUGAUUGACAAGAACCAUCUGGUGACUGUUGGGCUUGAAGGUGUCUAUGGUCCUCAUGACCCGAAAAGUUCGACUGUCAACCCUGGAUAUUGGGCAUCCCAAGUUGGGUCUGAUUUUAUUCGGAAUUCCAAAAUCUCAAAUAUUGAUUUCACCUCUGUUCAUAUCUAUGGUGACCAAUGGUCUUACAAGCAAGAAUUUGAAGAUCAACUGAAAUUUCAAAUUUGUCUCCGAGUGGAUGCUUUCCCACAUUGAAAAUGGUGAUAAAGUAUUGAAUAAACCUGUCUUGUUCUCUGAAUAUGGAUUGUCACAAAGAGUCCACAACUUUUCCGCGUCUGACCGAGAGCAGACACACAAAACUAUUCUAGACAUAAUUUACAAAUCUGCCAAAAGAAACAAAUCUGGAGCAGGUACUCUGAUUUGGCAAUUCUUGGUUGAUGGAAUCAAUGAGUUUUCUGAUGAAUAUGGGAUGGUGCCAGGGGAAAAUUCAUCAACUUAUUCACUGUUACUUCAACAGUCAUGCAGAUUGGCCAAAGUUAAGGGAUGGCCUCAACAGGAUGUAAAAUUCAAACACGUUUGUUAAGAAGGCAAUGGAAAACAAAUAUUAUAAUAUAAUAGAAAUUUAGAUAAAAGAUGCUUCCUUGGUUUAUGGAGUUACCGAGUUACACCAUGGAUUUUUGUACAAUGUUGCAGUGAAAUAAUUACUUUAAAGUUGAGUACAUACUAAUACACUAGUGUGGUAACCAUGUACAAGAGAUUUCUUAUAAAUAAAGUAUUAUUUAAACUA